AUGCCGCUCUCAGAACAGAAGACGGACACUCAGUUCAAACAGCCAGCGCCACCAUGGCCGACUCCUGGGCCGGGGACUGUCGCGCUAUCCGUUGAUGGUUCCUUCCGAGAGGCAGAUGGUUCGGCAGCGACCGGAAUCAUAUUGAGAGAUGAGUCAGGUACGGUACUGUUGGCGGCGUAUCGCUACAUGUUUAACUGUAAUGACACUUUGGAGGUGGAGAUCCAUGCUAUCAUGCAGGGUAUGGCUUUGGCCAUCCAACACAUAGUACUUCCGGUGGUUGUGCAGUCGGACUCGACGAUUGGCCUCUCAGUGUUGACUACUGAUGGCCUCACCAAAUCAGCAUAUGGGCAUCUGAUCCUGGAGAUUAAAGAGUUGAUGAAGGAAAGUAAGUUUUUACCUCAGAAAUUACACCGUAGUCAGAAUAAUGUAGCAGAUCGGUUGACAAACUAUAACCGCACCGAGAGAACCACGGCUGUGUGGGUUCACUCGGCUCCACCUUGUAUUGAGGAUCUUUGGCCUCUCGAUUGUAACACUGUGACAAUGCAAUAA
RNAcentral lists this ribosomal RNA (549 nucleotides) under Triticum aestivum (bread wheat). RNAcentral describes it as "partial small subunit ribosomal RNA". Lineage: Eukaryota; Viridiplantae; Streptophyta; Magnoliopsida; Poales; Poaceae. The record is from RNAcentral.